UGUUCUCCGAGAUGUACGUCGCUUUGGAGAAAAGCGUCUGCUAAAUGAAUAAAU
This is a regulatory RNA element of Scleropages formosus (Asian bonytongue), 54 nucleotides long. It matches the Rfam family "UnaL2 LINE 3' element". From Rfam's summary of the family: The eel long interspersed element (LINE) UnaL2 and its partner short interspersed element (SINE) share a conserved 3' tail containing a stem-loop that is critical for their retrotransposition. Lineage: Eukaryota; Metazoa; Chordata; Actinopteri; Osteoglossiformes; Osteoglossidae. The record is from Rfam.